This 72-nucleotide transfer RNA is filed under the name Sandaracinaceae bacterium. RNAcentral describes it as "tRNA-His". It matches the Rfam family "tRNA". From Rfam's summary of the family: Transfer RNA (tRNA) molecules are approximately 80 nucleotides in length. Their secondary structure includes four short double-helical elements and three loops (D, anti-codon, and T loops). The record is from RNAcentral. Lineage: Bacteria; Pseudomonadati; Myxococcota; Polyangiales; Sandaracinaceae.
GUGGCCGUAGCUCAGGGGUAGAGCACUGGAUUGUGGCUCCGGGAGUCGCGGGUUCAAAUCCCGUCGGUCACC